This 138-nucleotide ribosomal RNA is filed under the name uncultured eukaryote. RNAcentral describes it as "partial 18S ribosomal RNA". It matches the Rfam family "Eukaryotic small subunit ribosomal RNA", at positions 1299 to 1458 of the family's 1831-position model. The record is from RNAcentral.
UGGUGGAGUGAUUUGUCUGGUUAAUUCCGAUAACGAACGAGACCUUAACCUGCUAAAUAGUUAGCUAACCUCUGGUUGGCGGGCAACUUCUUAGAGGGACUGUUAGCGUUUAGCUAACGGAAGUUUGAGGCAAUAACA